Molecule: ribosomal RNA, 469 nt
Filed under: uncultured bacterium
Lineage: Bacteria
Description: bacterial SSU rRNA
Rfam family: Bacterial small subunit ribosomal RNA
Source: RNAcentral
CAAGUCGAACGGCAGCACGGGUGCUUGCACCUGGUGGCGAGUGGCGAACGGGUGAGUAAUGCGUCGGAACGUACCGAGUAAUGGGGGAUAACGCAGCGAAAGUUGUGCUAAUACCGCAUACGAUCUACGGAUGAAAGCGGGGGACCGCAAGGCCUCGCGCGAUGAGAGCGGCCGAUGUCAGAUUAGCUAGUUGGUGGGGUAAAGGCCUACCAAGGCGACGAUCCGUAGCUGGUCUGAGAGGAUGAUCAGCCACACUGGGACUGAGACACGGCCCAGACUCCUACGGGAGGCAGCAGUGGGGAAUUUUGGACAAUGGGCGCAAGCCUGAUCCAGCCAUGCCGCGUGAGUGAAGAAGGCCUUCGGGUUGUAAAGCUCUUUCAGACGGAAAGAAAUCGGGCGCGUGAAUAGCGUGCCUGGAUGACGGUACUGUCAGAAGAAGCACCGGCUAACUACGUGCCAGCAGCCGCGG